This 435-nucleotide ribosomal RNA is filed under the name uncultured bacterium. RNAcentral's name for it is "bacterial SSU rRNA". It matches the Rfam family "Bacterial small subunit ribosomal RNA", at positions 43 to 524 of the family's 1533-position model. The record is from RNAcentral.
CAGGCCUAACACAUGCAAGUCGAACGAAAGCUUCGGGUCUACUGGCGCACGGGUGCGUAACGCGUGGGAAUCUGCCCUUGGGUUCGGAAUAACAGUGAGAAAUGACUGCUAAUACCGGAUGACGACGUAAGUCCAAAGAUUUAUCGCCCAAGGAUGAGCCCGCGUAGGAUUAGCUAGUUGGUGAGGUAAAGGCUCACCAAGGCGACGAUCCUUAGCUGGUCUGAGAGGAUGAUCAGCCACACUGGGACUGAGACACGGCCCAGACUCCUACGGGAGGCAGCAGUGGGGAAUAUUGGACAAUGGGCGAAAGCCUGAUCCAGCAAUGCCGCGUGAGUGAUGAAGGCCUUAGGGUUGUAAAGCCCUUUUACCCGGGAUGAUAAUGACAGUACCGGGAGAAUAAGCUCCGGCUAACUCCGUGCCAGCAGCCGCGGUAAU